RNAcentral lists this ribosomal RNA (465 nucleotides) under uncultured bacterium. Its description in RNAcentral is "partial 16S ribosomal RNA". It matches the Rfam family "Bacterial small subunit ribosomal RNA", at positions 28 to 507 of the family's 1533-position model. The record is from RNAcentral.
GACGAACGCUGGCGGCGUGCUUAACACAUGCCAGUCGAACGGAAAGGCCCCUUUGGGGGUACUCGAGUGGCGAACGGGUGAGUAACACGUGAGUAACCUGCCCUUGACUUCGGGAUAACUUCAGGAAACUGGGGCUAAUACCGGAUAGGAAUCCUUGCUGCAUGGUGGGGGUUGGAAAGCUUCGGCGGUUUUGGAUGGACUCGCGGCUUAUCAGCUUGUUGGUGGGGUAGUGGCUUACCAAGGCUUUGACGGGUAGCCGGCCUGAGAGGGCGACCGGCCACAUUGGGACUGAGAUACGGCCCAGACUCCUACGGGAGGCAGCAGUGGGGAAGAUUGCACAAUGGGCGGAAGCCUGAUGCAGCAACGCCGCGUGCGGGAUGACGGCCUUCGGGUUGGAAACCGCUUUCAGCAGGGGCGAAGCUUGUGGUGACGGUACCUGCAGAAGAAGCACCGGCUAACUACGUG